RNAcentral lists this transfer RNA (90 nucleotides) under Methylobacterium bullatum. RNAcentral describes it as "tRNA-Ile". The record is from RNAcentral. Lineage: Bacteria; Pseudomonadati; Pseudomonadota; Alphaproteobacteria; Hyphomicrobiales; Methylobacteriaceae.
GGCUCGCCAGGGCGCGGGAGGCUCCGCCGUCGAUGGCCGCGAGCAGCGCGUUCCUCGACGCGUCGGACUGUUCGGCGAGGUCGCGGACCC